This 428-nucleotide ribosomal RNA is filed under the name Bacteroidota bacterium. RNAcentral's name for it is "Bacteroidetes bacterium partial 16S ribosomal RNA". It matches the Rfam family "Bacterial small subunit ribosomal RNA", at positions 355 to 776 of the family's 1533-position model. The record is from RNAcentral. Lineage: Bacteria; Pseudomonadati; Bacteroidota.
UAGGGAAUCUUCCGCAAUGGACGCAAGUCUGACGGAGCAACGCCGCGUGAGUGAAGAAGGAUUUCGGUUCGUAAAACUCUGUUGUUAGAGAAGAACAGCGCAUAGAGUAACUGUUAUGCGUGUGACUGUAUCUAACCAGAAAGCCACGGCUAACUACGUGCCAGCAGCCGCGGUAAUACGUAGGUGGCAAGCGUUGUCCGGAUUUAUUGGGCGUAAAGCGAGCGCAGGCGGCAAUGCAAGUCAGAUGUAAAAGGCAAAGGCUCAACCUUUGUAAGCAUCUGAAACUGUAUAGCUUGAGAAGUGUAGAGGCAAGUGGAAUUUUUAGUGUAGCGGUGAAAUGCGUAGAUAUUAAAAAGAAUACCGGUGGCGAAGGCGACUUGCUGGGCACAAUCUGACGCUGAGGAACGAAAGCGUGGGGAGCAAACAGG